GAUGAACGCUAGCGGCAGGCCUAAUACAUGCAAGCUGAACGGUAAGAUUUGUAGCAAUACGAGUCCUAGAGUAGCGUAAGGGUGCGUAACACGUAUGCAAUCUGCCCGCAACAGGAGGAUAGCUUAGCGAAAGUUGAGAUAAGACUCCAUAAGAUCACACGAGGGCAUCUGAGGGUGAUUAAACUACAAGGGGUUGCGGAUGAGCAUGCGACUGAUUAGUUAGUU
Molecule: ribosomal RNA, 225 nt
Filed under: uncultured bacterium
Lineage: Bacteria
Description: partial 16S ribosomal RNA
Rfam family: Bacterial small subunit ribosomal RNA
Source: RNAcentral